RNAcentral lists this ribosomal RNA (460 nucleotides) under uncultured bacterium. RNAcentral's name for it is "partial 16S ribosomal RNA". It matches the Rfam family "Bacterial small subunit ribosomal RNA", at positions 338 to 795 of the family's 1533-position model. The record is from RNAcentral.
CCUACGGGGGGCUGCAGUGAGGAAUAUUGGUCAAUGGCCGGAAGGCUGAACCAGCCAUGCCGCGUGAAGGUCAGUGCCCUAUGGGCGUUAAACUUCUUUUGUGCGGGAGCAAUAAUGGUCACGUGUGGCCAGACGAGAGUACCGUACGAAUAAGCAUCGGCUAACUACGUGCCAGCAGCCGCGGUAAUACGGGGGAUGCAAGCGUUAUCCGGAUUUAUUUGGGUUAAAGGGUGCGUAGGCUGGGAGGUAAGUGAGCGGUGAAAUGCCCCCGCUCAACGGGGUGGAGUGCCAUUGAUACUGCCGUGCUGGAAUGCGAAUGCCGUAGGAGGAAUGUGUGGUGUAGCGGUGAAAUGCAUAGAGAUCACACAGAACACCGAUUGCGAAGGCAUCUCACGAAUCCGCGAUUGACGCUGAUGCACGAAAGCGUGGGUAUCAAACAGGAUUAGAUACCCGAGUAGUC